RNAcentral lists this ribosomal RNA (118 nucleotides) under Periophthalmus magnuspinnatus. The record is from RNAcentral. Lineage: Eukaryota; Metazoa; Chordata; Actinopteri; Gobiiformes; Gobiidae.
GCUUGUGGCCAUACCAGCUUGUCAAAGCCUGAUCUCGUCAGAUCUCAGAAGCUAAGCAAGGCCGGGCCUGGUUAGUACUUGGAUAGGAGACCUGUAGGAGUAUCAGGUACUGCAGUAG